AUUGAACGCUGGCGGCAUGCCUUACACAUGCAAGUCGAACGGUAACAGGUCUUCGGAUGCUGACGAGUGGCGAACGGGUGGGUAAUACAUCGGAACGUGCCUAGUAGUGUGGGAUAACUACUCGAAAGAGUGGCUAAUACCGCAUGAGAUCUACGGAUGAAAGCAGGGGAUCGCAAGACCUUGUGCUACUAGAGCGGCCGAUGGCAGAUUAGGUAGUUGGUGGGAUAAAAGCUUACCAAGCCGACGAUCUGUAGCUGGUCUGAGAGGACGAUCAGCCACACUGGGACUGAGACACGGCCCAGACUCCUACGGGAGGCAGCAGUGGGGAAUUUUGGACAAUGGGCGCAAGCCUGAUCCAGCAAUGCCGCGUGCAGGAUGAAGGCCUUCGGGUUGUAAACUGCUUUUGUACGGAACGAAAAGCCCUGGGUUAAUACCCUGGGGUCAUGACGGUACCGUAAGAAUAAGCACCGGCUAACUACGUGCCAGCCGCCGCCGUAA
This 498-nucleotide ribosomal RNA is filed under the name uncultured bacterium. Its description in RNAcentral is "partial 16S ribosomal RNA". It matches the Rfam family "Bacterial small subunit ribosomal RNA", at positions 30 to 523 of the family's 1533-position model. The record is from RNAcentral.